AACGAACGCUGGCGGCAUGCCUAACACAUGCAAGUCGAACGAGACCUUCGGGUCUAGUGGCGCACGGGUGCGUAACGCGUGGGAACCUGCCCUUAGGUUCGGAAUAACUCCCCGAAAGGGGUGCUAAUACCGGAUAAUGUCUUCGGACCAAAGAUUUAUCGCCUUUGGAUGGGCCCGCGUUGGAUUAGCUAGUUGGUAGGGUAAAAGCCUACCAAGGCGACGAUCCAUAGCUGGUCUGAGAGGAUGAUCAGCCACACUGGGACUGAGACACGGCCCAGACACGGAGGGGAGGAAGCGGGGGGAAAGAGGACAAGACGGGCAGAGGCCGGAACAGGCAGUGCGGGGUGAGGGAUGAAGGCCGUGGUGUUAUAAAGCGUCUUUACCGGGGAUGAGAAUGACAGUGCCGGAAGAAGAACCUCCUGCUAACUCAGGGACAGAAGCGGCGGUAACAAGCGGAAGAGCCGACGGCUCACC
Molecule: ribosomal RNA, 474 nt
Filed under: uncultured bacterium
Lineage: Bacteria
Description: partial 16S ribosomal RNA
Rfam family: Bacterial small subunit ribosomal RNA
Source: RNAcentral